UACGUAGGGUGCAAGCGUUAAUCGGAAUUACUGGGCGUAAAGCGUGCGCAGGCGGCUUUGCAAGACAGAUGUGAAAUCCCCGGGCUCAACCUGGGAACUGCAUUUGUGACUGCAUGGCUAGAGUACGGUAGGGGGGGAUGGAAUUCCGCGUGUAGCAGUGAAAUGCGUAGAUAUGCGGAGGAACACCGAUGGCGAAGGCAAUCCCCUGGACCUGUACUGACGCUCAUGCACGAAAGCGUGGGGAGCAAACAGG
Molecule: ribosomal RNA, 253 nt
Filed under: uncultured bacterium
Lineage: Bacteria
Description: partial 16S ribosomal RNA
Rfam family: Bacterial small subunit ribosomal RNA
Source: RNAcentral